GCAUAUCAAUAAGCGGAGGAAAAGAAACCAACCGGGAUUGCCCCAGUAACGGCGAGUGAAGCGGCAAGAGCUCAAAUUUGAAAUCUGGCCCCUCCGGGGUCCGAGUUGUAAUUUGCAGAGGAUGCUUCGGGUGCGGCCCCUGUCUAAGUGCCCUGGAACGGGCCGUCAGAGAGGGUGAGAAUCCCGUCUUGGGCAGGGUGCCCGUGCCCGUGUGAAGCUCCUUCGACGAGUCGAGUUGUUUGGGAAUGCAGCUCUAAAUGGGUGGUAAAUUUCAUCUAAAGCUAAAUACCGGCCGGAGACCGAUAGCGCACAAGUAGAGUGAUCGAAAGAUGAAAAGCACUUUGAAAAGAGAGUUAAACAGCACGUGAAAUUGUUGAAAGGGAAGCGCUUGCGACCAGACUCGGCCUCGGGGUUCAGCCAGCAUUCGUGCUGGUGUACUUCCCCGGGGCCGGGCCAGCGUCGGUUCGGGCGGCCGGUCAAAGGCCCCAGGAAUGUAUCGUCCUCCGGGACGUCUUAUAGCCUGGGGUGCAAUGCGGCCAGCCUGGACCGAGGAACGCGCUUCGGCACGGACGCUGGCGUAAUGGUUGCAAACGACCCGUCUUGAAACACGGACCAAGGAGUCUAACAUCUACGCGAGUGUUCGGGUGUCAAACCCGUACGCGCAGUGAAAGCGAACGGAGGUGGGAGCCCCUUUGGGGCGCACCAUCGACCGAUCCUGAUGUCUUCGGAUGGAUUUGAGUACGAGCGUAGCUGUGGGGACCCGAAAGAUGGUGAACUAUGCCUGAAUAGGGCGAAGCCAGAGGAAACUCUGGUGGAGGCUCGCAGCGGUUCUGACGUGCAAAUCGAUCGUCAAAUUUGGGGUAUAGGGGGCGAAAGACUAAUCGAACCAUCUGGUAGCUGGUUCCUGCG
Molecule: ribosomal RNA, 909 nt
Filed under: Aspergillus versicolor
Lineage: Eukaryota; Fungi; Ascomycota; Eurotiomycetes; Eurotiales; Aspergillaceae
Description: LSU rRNA
Rfam family: Eukaryotic large subunit ribosomal RNA
Source: RNAcentral